AAGUCGUAACAAGGUUUCCGUAGGUGAACCUGCGGAAGGAUCAUUACCAAUAUAGCGAACCGAGCGUUAGCGAGGCUUCGCGAUCAAUUUGUAUUUAAAACCCAACUCUUUAAAUGUAUAUUAUAUUGUAUUUUAAAUAAUAAAAAGAUCACUUUCAACAACGGAUCUCUUGGCUCUC
This 178-nucleotide unclassified non-coding RNA is filed under the name Glomus indicum. Its description in RNAcentral is "partial internal transcribed spacer region". The stretch from base 1 to 46 matches the Rfam family "Eukaryotic small subunit ribosomal RNA", at positions 1786 to 1831 of the family's 1831-position model. RNAcentral also lists the same sequence under 2 other names. Lineage: Eukaryota; Fungi; Glomeromycota; Glomeromycetes; Glomerales; Glomeraceae. The record is from RNAcentral.